GUAAAGAACACACUUCCCAGAGGAUUCUUGGAGCAAAAUAUUACACAAGGUCCAGGGCAAGGCAGGAUGGCCACCUCGCUCACUCAUCACAGCUGUCCUCUGACCUGAGCAGGGCCGUUCUGUCUCAGACCUGGAGACCCCGCACUCAGGGCGUUCAGGAACUCCCCGACCCACCAGGAGCCUCUCCUGGUGUCUCCCAGGGAUUGUCAAUAGUUCCAUUUUCCUUGAAGAACUUGUUUUCAG
This 243-nucleotide long non-coding RNA is filed under the name Homo sapiens (human). RNAcentral's name for it is "non-protein coding LINC00939:7". The record is from RNAcentral. Lineage: Eukaryota; Metazoa; Chordata; Mammalia; Primates; Hominidae.